UACGUAGGGUGCAAGCGUUAAUCGGAAUUACUGGGCGUAAAGCGUGCGCAGGCGGCUAUGCAAGACAGAUGUGAAAUCCCCGGGCUCAACCUGGGAACUGCAUUUGUGACUGCAUGGCUAGAGUACGGCAGAGGGGGAUGGAAUUCCGCGUGUAGCAGUGAAAUGCGUAGAUAUGCGGAGGAACACCGAUGGCGAAGGCGGCAUCCUGGACCGGCAUUGACGCUGAGGAGCGAAAGCUAGGGGAGCAAACGGG
Molecule: ribosomal RNA, 253 nt
Filed under: uncultured bacterium
Lineage: Bacteria
Description: partial 16S ribosomal RNA
Rfam family: Bacterial small subunit ribosomal RNA
Source: RNAcentral